This 440-nucleotide ribosomal RNA is filed under the name uncultured bacterium. Its description in RNAcentral is "partial 16S ribosomal RNA". It matches the Rfam family "Bacterial small subunit ribosomal RNA", at positions 338 to 795 of the family's 1533-position model. The record is from RNAcentral.
CCUACGGGAGGCAGCAGUAGGGAAUAUUGCUCAAUGGGGGAAACCCUGAAGCAGCAACGCCGCGUGGAGGAUGAAGGUUUUCGGAUUGUAAACUUCUUUUGUUAGAGAAGAUAAUGACGGUAUCUAACGAAUAAGCACCGGCUAACUCCGGGCCAGCAGCCGCGGUAAUACGGAGGGUGCAAGCGUUACUCGGAAUCACUGGGCGGAAAGAGCGCGUAGGCGGGAUAGCAAGUCAGAUGUGAAAUCCUAUGGCUUAACCAUAGAACUGCAUUUGAAACUGUUAUUCUAGAGUAUGGGAGAGGUAGGUGGAAUUCUUGGUGUAGGGGUAAAAUCCGUAGAGAUCAAGAGGAAUACUCGUGGCGAAGGCGACCUGCUAGAACAUAACUGACGCUGAUGCGCGAAAGCGUGGGGAGCAAACAGGAUUAGAUACCCGUGUAGUC